Molecule: ribosomal RNA, 502 nt
Filed under: uncultured bacterium
Lineage: Bacteria
Description: partial 16S ribosomal RNA
Rfam family: Bacterial small subunit ribosomal RNA
Source: RNAcentral
AUUGAACGCUGGCGGCAUGCCUUACACAUGCAAGUCGAACGGCAGCAUAGGAGCUUGCUCCUGAUGGCGAGUGGCGAACGGGUGAGUAAUAUAUCGGAACGUGCCCUAGAGUGGGGGAUAACUAGUCGAAAGACUAGCUAAUACCGCAUACGAUCUACGGAUGAAAGUGGGGGAUCGCAAGACCUCAUGCUCCUGGAGCGGCCGAUAUCUGAUUAGCUAGUUGGUGGGGUAAAAGCUCACCAAGGCGACGCUCAGUAGCUGGUCUGAGAGGACGACCAGCCACACUGGGAAUGAGACAAGGCCCAGACACCUACGGGAGGCAGCAGUGAGGAAUUUUGGACAAUGGGGGCAACCCAGAUCCAGAAAUGCCGCGUGAGUGAAGAAGGCCUUCGGGUUGUAAAGCUCUGUUGUCAGGGAAGAAACGGUUCUGGAUAAUACCUGGGACUAAUGACGGUACCUGAAGAAUAAGCACCGGCUAACUACGUGCCAGCAGCCGCCGGAA